This 392-nucleotide ribosomal RNA is filed under the name uncultured bacterium. RNAcentral describes it as "partial 16S ribosomal RNA". It matches the Rfam family "Bacterial small subunit ribosomal RNA", at positions 523 to 917 of the family's 1533-position model. The record is from RNAcentral.
AUACGGAGGAUGCAAGCGUUAUCCGGAUUUAUUGGGUUUAAAGGGUGCGUAGGCGGGCUGUUAAGCGUGAGGUGAAAGCUCGGGGCUCAACCCCGGAACUGCCUCGCGAACUGGCGGCCUUGAAUGUCCGUGCCGUUGGAGGAAUGAGUGGUGUAGCGGUGAAAUGCUUAGAUAUCACUCAGAACACCGAUUGCGAAGGCAUCUGACGAAUCCGUCACUGACGCUGAGGCACGAAAGUGUGGGGAUAGAACAGGAUUAGAUACCCUGGUAUUCCACGCCGUAAACGAUGAUGACUAACCGUCGGCGAUAGACAGACGGUGGCCAAGCGAAAGCGAUAAGUCAUCCACCUGGGGAGUACGUCGGCAACGAUGAAACUCAAAGGAAUUGACGGG